GACGAACGCUGGCGGCGUGCUUAACACAUGCAAGUCGAACGGUAAGGCCCUUCGGGGUACACGAGUGGCGAACGGGUGAGUAACACGUGGGUGAUCUGCCCUGCACUUCGGGAUAAGCCUGGGAAGCUGGGUCUAAUACCGGAUAGGACCACUGCCUGCAUGGGUGGUGGUGGAAAGCUUUUGCGGUGUGGGAUGGGCCCGCGGCCUAUCAGCUUGUUGGUGGGGUGAUGGCCUACCAAGGCGACGACGGGUAGCCGGCCUGAGAGGGUGAUCGGCCACACUGGGACUGAGAUACGGCCCAGACUCCUACGGGAGGCAGCAGUGGGGAAUAUUGCACAAUGGGCGCAAGCCUGAUGCAGCGACGCCGCGUGAGGGAUGACGGCCUUCGGGUUGUAAACCUCUUUCAGCACCGACGAAGCGCAAGUGACGGUAGGUGCAGAAGAAGGACCGGCCAACUACGUGCCAGCCGCCGCAGUAA
This 478-nucleotide ribosomal RNA is filed under the name uncultured bacterium. RNAcentral's name for it is "partial 16S ribosomal RNA". It matches the Rfam family "Bacterial small subunit ribosomal RNA", at positions 28 to 523 of the family's 1533-position model. The record is from RNAcentral.